UACGUAGGGGGCAAGCGUUGUCCGGAUUCAUUGGGCGUAAAGAGCGUGUAGGCGGCCAGGUAGGUCGGUUGUGAAAACUGGAGGCUCAACCUUCAGAGAUCGACCGAAACCAUCUGGCUAGAGUCCGGGAGAGGAGAGUGGAAUUCCUGGUGUAGCGGUGAAAUGCGCAGAUAUCAGGAGGAACACCGAUUGCGAAGGCAGCUCGCUGGGACGUUACUGACGCUGAGACGCGAAAGCGUGGGGAGCAAACAGG
This 253-nucleotide ribosomal RNA is filed under the name uncultured bacterium. Its description in RNAcentral is "partial 16S ribosomal RNA". It matches the Rfam family "Bacterial small subunit ribosomal RNA", at positions 524 to 776 of the family's 1533-position model. The record is from RNAcentral.